Molecule: ribosomal RNA, 491 nt
Filed under: uncultured bacterium
Lineage: Bacteria
Description: bacterial SSU rRNA
Rfam family: Bacterial small subunit ribosomal RNA
Source: RNAcentral
ACGCGAAGAACCUUACCUNGGUCUUGACAUCCACGGAAGUUUUCAGNAGAUGAGAAUNGUGCCUUCGGGAACCGUGAGACAGNGUGCUGCANGGCUNGUCGUCAGCUCGUGUUGUGAAAUGUUGGGUUAAGUCCCGCAACGAGCGCAACCCUUAUCCUUUGUUGCCAGCGGUCCGGCCGGGAACUCAAAGGAGACUGCCAGUGAUAAACUGGAGGAAGGUGGGGAUGACGUCAAGUCAUCAUGGCCCUUACGACCAGGGCUACACACGUGCUACAAUGGCGCAUACAAAGAGAAGCGACCUCGCGAGAGCAAGCGGACCUCAUAAAGUGCGUCGUAGUCCGGAUUGGAGUCUGCAACUCGACUCCAUGAAGUCGGAAUCGCUAGUAAUCGUGGAUCAGAAUGCCACGGUGAAUACGUUCCCGGGCCUUGUACACACCGCCCGUCACACCAUGGGAGUGGGUUGCAAAAGAAGUAGGUAGCUUAACCUNNGG